RNAcentral lists this ribosomal RNA (924 nucleotides) under Strossmayeria sp. Its description in RNAcentral is "partial large subunit ribosomal RNA". It matches the Rfam family "Eukaryotic large subunit ribosomal RNA", at positions 1 to 952 of the family's 3401-position model. Lineage: Eukaryota; Fungi; Ascomycota; Leotiomycetes; Helotiales. The record is from RNAcentral.
UUGACCUCGGAUCAGGUAGGGAUACCCGCUGAACUUAAGCAUAUCAAUAAGCGGAGGAAAAGAAACCAACCGGGAUUGCCUUAGUAACGGCGAGUGAAGCGGCAAGAGCUCAAAUUUGAAAGCUGCCAACAGGCCGCGUUGUAAUUUGUAGAAGAUGCUUUGGGUGCCGGCCUUGUCUAAGUUCCUUGGAACAGGACGUCAUAGAGGGUGAGAAUCCCGUACGUGAUUAGGCCCAACCCCGUGUAAAGCUCUUUCGACGAGUCGAGUUGUUUGGGAAUGCAGCUCAAAAUGGGUGGUAAAUUUCAUCUAAAGCUAAAUAUUGGCCAGAGACCGAUAGCGCACAAGUAGAGUGAUCGAAAGAUGAAAAGCACUUUGGAAAGAGAGUUAAACAGUACGUGAAAUUGUUGAAAGGGAAGCGUUUAUAAUCAGACUUGCGGGCUAUCGAUCAUCCGAGGUUCUCCCCGGUGCACUCGAUUGUUCUCAGGCCAGCAUCGGUUCUAGUGGUGGGAUAAAGGCCGUGGGAAUGUGGCUCUUCGGAGUGUUAUAGCCCACGGUGCAAUGCCGCCUACCAGGACCGAGGACCGCGCUUCGGCUAGGAUGCUGGCGUAAUGGUUGUAAACGACCCGUCUUGAAACACGGACCAAGGAGUCUAACAUCUAUGCGAGUGUUUGGGUGUCAAACCCAUACGCGUAAUGAAAGUGAACGGAGGUGAGAGUCCUUUAGGGUGCAUCAUCGACCGAUCCUGAUGUCUUCGGAUGGAUUUGAGUAAGAGCAUAGCUGUUGGGACCCGAAAGAUGGUGAACUAUGCGUGAAUAGGGUGAAGCCAGAGGAAACUCUGGUGGAGGCUCGCAGCGGUUCUGACGUGCAAAUCGAUCGUCAAAUUUGCGUAUAGGGGCGAAAGACUAAUCGAACCAUCUAGUAGCU